RNAcentral lists this ribosomal RNA (207 nucleotides) under uncultured bacterium. Its description in RNAcentral is "partial 16S ribosomal RNA". It matches the Rfam family "Bacterial small subunit ribosomal RNA", at positions 568 to 774 of the family's 1533-position model. The record is from RNAcentral.
CACGUAGGUGGCGCUACAAGUUGGAUGUGAAAGCUCUCGGCUUAACUGAGAGAGGUCAUUCAAAACUGUAGUGCUCGAGGCUGAAAGAGGAGAGUGGAAUUCCCGGUGUAGUGGUGGAAUGCGUAGAUAUCGGGAGGAACACCAGUGGCGAAAGCGGCUCUCUAGUUCACGCCUGACGCUGAGGUGCGAAAGCGUGGGUAGCGAACG